CUACGCACUCCUACGGGAGGCAGCAGUGGGGGAAUAUUGCACAAUGGGCGCAAGCCUGAUGCAGCCAUGCCGCGUGUAUGAAGAAGGCCUUCGGGUUGUAAAGUACUUUCAGCAGUGAGGAAGGUGGGUAUGUUAAUAGCAUAUUCAUUUGACGUUAGCUGCAGAAGAAGCACCGGCUAACUCCGUGCCAGCAGCCGCGGUAAUACGGAGGGUGCGAGCGUUAAUCGGAAUUACUGGGCGUAAAGCGCAUGCAGGUGGUUUGUUAAGUCAGAUGUGAAAGCCCGGGGCUCAACCUCGGAAUUGCAUUUGAAACUGGCAAACUAGAGUACUGUAGAGGGGGUAGAAUUUCAGGUGUAGCGGUGAAAUGCGUAGAGAUCUGAAGGAAUACCGGUGGCGAAGGCGGCCCCCUGGACAGAUACUGACACUCAGAUGCGAAAGCGUGGGGAGCAAACAGGAUUAGAUACCCUGGUAG
RNAcentral lists this ribosomal RNA (472 nucleotides) under uncultured bacterium. Its description in RNAcentral is "bacterial SSU rRNA". It matches the Rfam family "Bacterial small subunit ribosomal RNA", at positions 329 to 793 of the family's 1533-position model. The record is from RNAcentral.